CGUGGGUAACCUGCCUCAUACAGGGGAUAACAGUUAGAAAUGACUGCUAAUACCGCAUAAGCGCACAGUGCUGCAUGGCACAGUGUGAAAAACUCCGGUGGUAUGAGAUGGACCCGCGUCUGAUUAGCUAGUUGGAGGGGUAACGGCCCACCAAGGCAAUGAUCAGUAGCCGGUCUGAGAGGAUGAACGGCCACAUUGGGACUGAGACACGGCCCAG
This 217-nucleotide ribosomal RNA is filed under the name uncultured bacterium. RNAcentral describes it as "partial 16S ribosomal RNA". It matches the Rfam family "Bacterial small subunit ribosomal RNA", at positions 116 to 334 of the family's 1533-position model. The record is from RNAcentral.